Molecule: ribosomal RNA, 453 nt
Filed under: Megascolides tasmani
Lineage: Eukaryota; Metazoa; Annelida; Clitellata; Crassiclitellata; Megascolecidae
Description: partial 16S ribosomal RNA
Rfam family: Bacterial large subunit ribosomal RNA
Source: RNAcentral
CUGCCCAGUGACAAAGUUCAACGGCCGCGGUAUCCUAACCGUGCAAAGGUAGCAUAAUCAUUUGCCUAUUAAUUGUAGGCUAGAAUGAACGGAUAAACGAAAUAAAAACUGUCUCAAUUAGUAACCUAAAAAUUAAUAUCUAUAUGAAGAAAAAUAGAUACAUUUGAAGGACAAGAAGACCCUAUAGAGCUUUAUUUUAUGUAUAAAUUUAAAUUUAUAUAAAAAAUUCGGUUGGGGCGACCCUGGGAUUAUUAAUCACCCACUUUUACAUAGAUUAAUUAAUCAAAUAACUGACCCUAAUAAGAUCAAAAAAAUAAGUUACCUUAGGGAUAACAGGCUAAUUCUAUUGAAGAGUCCAUAUCAAUAAUAGAGUUUGGCACCUCGAUGUUGGCUUAGGGUAUCAAUAUAGCGCAAAAGUUAUAUAAAGAUGGUUUGUUCAACCACUAACUCCCU